GGUAUUCAAGACGAACUAGAUGCGAAAGACGUCCGACAGGAUGUUUCCGUUAAUCAAGAACGAAAGUUAGGGGGAGUCGAAGAUGAUCAGAUACCGUCGUAGUCCUAACCCUAAACGAUGUGGACCAAGGAUCCGAGGAUGUUAUAUGGAUGACUCUCCGGGCACUUUGUGGGAAAUCAUUGAGUAUUUGCACUCCCGGGGGGAGUAUGGCCGCAAGACUGAAACUUAAAGGAAUUGACGGAAGGGCACCACCAGGAGUGGAACCUGCGGCUUAAUUCGACCCAACACGGGAAACUUCACCAGGUCCGGACACAGUAAGGAUUGACAGAUUGAGAGCUCUUUCUUGAUUCUGUGAGUGGUGGUGCAUGGCCGUUUUUAGUUGGUGGAUUGAUUUGUCUUGUUAAUUCAGAUAACGAGCGAGACCUCAUCCUGCUAAUUAGUGAUGCGAACGUGGGCGGCCCUCGGGUCGUCCUCCUUGUUCGUACGCAACUUCUUAGAGGGACUCUCGGCGUCUUUAGCCCGAUCGGAAGUCUGAGGCAAAACACGGGUCGACGCGGCCG
Molecule: ribosomal RNA, 560 nt
Filed under: uncultured eukaryote
Lineage: Eukaryota
Description: bacterial SSU rRNA
Rfam family: Eukaryotic small subunit ribosomal RNA
Source: RNAcentral